This is an RNA transcript of Paramacrobiotus metropolitanus, 1680 nucleotides long. RefSeq lists it as uncharacterized. Lineage: Eukaryota; Metazoa; Tardigrada; Eutardigrada; Parachela; Macrobiotidae. The transcript has 9 exons. The record is from RefSeq and is a predicted model, not a curated record.
UUGAAUUUGAAGUGGCCAUUGGUGAGUGAAAGUUUCACUCACCAAUGGCCUGUGAAAGGAAUCAUUUCCAAAUGUAAACUUCACGUGCCAAGCUGUUCCAGCUUGAUGGAGGGAUCGCUGAAAGUUGCCGUUCGCGGUGGUGAUAACAGAUAACUGAUAAGUUUACACAUCUUAUUUACGGUUCUUGCCAGCCUUGAUGUGCCGGUUUUCUGUUCGUACUCGGACUACGAGUAUUUUGUAAUCAGCAGUUUAGGAUUGCGAUUUGCUAGCUAGUAGUGAAAUUGCUCGCGUUUCGUCAUCUUAGUUCGCGCCUCGUCCUUUGUUUGCCAUUAAGCAUUCUCUGUUUUAGCCGAGAAUAUGGAUGAUGAGGAUCGUGCCCGUGAACUGCAGCAGUUCAACGCAAACCAACUGCGCCAAAUCGAAGAAACCUACGAAAACAGCAUACGCGAGUUCGUCGACCCUGCUCCAGUGGGCGAACCUGCUCCACUUGCGGAUCCCGAUGAACUGGACGAUCCUGAGCAACCUGCACCCGGGUUGUUCGUGAAAGCCCGCCACGUUCUCUCUGGCGUCCACCUAGGCAAGAUGGUGCGUGUGGAACGCGUUGCGGACAAUCAGCUGGAGGCUGUGCGCGCUCAGAUAACCACAAUCAACGUGAUGAUGUUCGGACACGGCGGCCUGAAUAUUGGCAGACUGACCGAUGAUUCGGUGGUUCCACUCCCGACCACUAAUGGGCACGGCGCGGCCCAUGUACCUCCAGUUCCCCAGAAUCCCCAAAGGUUGAACUUCCGCAUACGACUAAAUCCUUAUGGUGGAAACGACGAACUACUCAGGAACACGAGAACUCGGGAAUCCCUCGGGAACACUCCAACUACAACUUCCGGUCGCAGUUUCUAUGAGGAUCAACAAAGAGCUAGGACGAUUGUGUCACGAGCAAACCUGUAUUCUAUGCAAUAAUCCGGGAACGAUCAUGUACAUCAGAAAAAACAAGUGGAAGGCGGACAGUCAGCAUCCGUGAGGCGGAAGCCCAACAGCUUGUGGAGAACGAGCCAGGCCGGGAAGCACUGCGCAGCCAUGUCGUUGCUGCUUUACAGCCUUACGCGGCCGUUGUCGCUGUAUUUGUUGAUGAACUGCCCUACCAUGUUCUGGCUACCGUAAAUGCGCCGGCAGAUCAUCGUGGAGCACUUCGCGUGCUGUUAACUGAUUUUAUCGCUACGGAAUACCCGCAGACUGUAAAUAUACCGAGGGCCACAGGAAACUCUGUGUCUCGGCAGCUUUGUUACCCUGCUGGCCAGGGCGCCGGAUGAUCGUAUCGCUGACGAAUAAGGACGGUAGCUUUCCUGACCUUUCCUUCCAGUUGUUACUAAGCCUUGAUGCACACUUACUAACAAGUAAGACGAAGUGCCGAUCGGAGAAAUUUGACUAACCAUUGUUGGUCUGGAGCCGAAAUUCGAUGGGAGUUACUAGAAGCGGUGUUUUCAAAGAUGGUCCGCUGUCUAGAUAUUUUAGAGGGUUUUUUGGUGCAGAAACGGUAGGUUGUCGGACAGCAAUAGGUAUUCCUGUCGGCGGCGACGGCCAAGCGAAGCGGUUUUGGGUGGGGCACGAGGAGCGGUGGGAGAAGAUGAAGCGGAAGAGAGUCCGGGAUAGGGAGAAGGAGCUGCAACGAUCACCCAACCGACUGGG